CCUACGGGUGGCUGCAGUAGGGAAUCUUCCACAAUGGGCGAAAGCCUGAUGGAGCAACGCCGCGUGGGUGAAGAAGGUCUUCGGAUCGUAAAACCCUGUUGUUAGAGAAGAAAGUGCGUGAGAGUAACUGUUCACGUUUCGACGGUAUCUAACCAGAAAGCCACGGCUAACUACGUGCCAGCAGCCGCGGUAAUACGUAGAUGGCAAGCGUUAUCCGGAUUUAUUGGGCGUAAAGGGAACGCAGGCGGUCUUUUAAGUCUGAUGUGAAAGCCUUCGGCUUAACCGGAGUAGUGCAUUGGAAACUGGCAAACUGGAGUGUGUGAGAGGAUAGUGGAAUUCCAGGUGUAGGAGUGAAAUCCGUAGAUAUCUGGAGGAACAUCAGUGGCGAAGGCGACUAUCUGGCACAUAACUGACGCUGAGGAGCGAAAGCGUGGGUAGCAAACAGGAUUAGAUACCCGGGUAGUC
RNAcentral lists this ribosomal RNA (465 nucleotides) under uncultured bacterium. RNAcentral describes it as "partial 16S ribosomal RNA". It matches the Rfam family "Bacterial small subunit ribosomal RNA", at positions 338 to 795 of the family's 1533-position model. The record is from RNAcentral.